UGAGUAGGUGGCUUGGUAAGCGUGUGGUGAAAGCCUGGGGCUCAACCCCAGGUCUGCCAUGCGAACUGUCAGGCUUGAGCAUAGUAGAGGCGGGUGGAAUUCCGGGUGUAGCGGUGGAAUGCGUAGAUAUCCGGAAGAACACCGGUGGCGAAGGCGGCCCGCUGGGCUAUUGCUGACACUGAAUCACGACAGCGGUGGGAGCAAC
Molecule: ribosomal RNA, 205 nt
Filed under: uncultured bacterium
Lineage: Bacteria
Description: partial 16S ribosomal RNA
Rfam family: Bacterial small subunit ribosomal RNA
Source: RNAcentral